Molecule: ribosomal RNA, 510 nt
Filed under: uncultured bacterium
Lineage: Bacteria
Description: partial 16S ribosomal RNA
Rfam family: Bacterial small subunit ribosomal RNA
Source: RNAcentral
GACGAACGCUGGCGGCGUGCUUAACACAUGCAAGUCGAACGAAGAGCGACGGAAGCUUGCUUCUAUCAAUCUUAGUGGCGAACGGGUGAGUAACGCGUAAUCAACCUGCCCUUCAGAGGGGGACAACAGUUGGAAACGACUGCUAAUACCGCAUACGAUCUAACCUCGGCAUCGAGGAUAGAUGAAAGGUGGCCUCUACAUGUAAGCUAUCACUGAAGGAGGGGAUUGCGUCUGAUUAGCUAGUUGGAGGGGUAACGGCCCACCAAGGCGAUGAUCAGUAGCCGGUCUGAGAGGAUGAACGGCCACAUUGAGACUGAGACACGGCCCAGACUCCUACGGGAGGCAGCAGUGGGGAAUCUUCCGCAAUGGACGAAAGUCUGACGGAGCAACGCCGCGUGAGUGAUGACGGCCUUCGGGUUGUAAAGCUCUGUUAAUCGGGACGAAAGGCCUUCUUGCGAAUAGUGAGAAGGAUUGACGGUACCGGAAUAGAAAGCCACGGCUAACUACGUG